GGGGAAUUUUCCGCAAUGGGCGAAAGCCUGACGGAGCAACGCCGCGUGAGGGAUGAAGGCCUCUGGGCUGUAAACCUCUUUUAUCAAGGAAGAAGAUCUGACGGUACUUGAUGAAUAAGCCACGGCUAAUUCCGUGCCAGCAGCCGCGGUAAUACGGGAGUGGCAAGCGUUAUCCGGAAUUAUUGGGCGUAAAGCGUCCGCAGGCGGCCCUACAAGUCUGCUGUUAAAAAGUGGAGCUUAACUCCAUCAUGGCAGUGGAAACUGUUGGGCUUGAGUGUGGUAGGGGCAGAGGGAAUUCCCGGUGUAGCGGUGAAAUGCGUAGAUAUCGGGAAGAACACCAGUGGCGAAGGCGCUCUGCUGGGCCAUCACUGACGCUCAUGGACGGAAGCCAGGGGAGCGAAAGGGAUUAGAUACCCCAGUAGUCAUGGGGAAUUUUCCGCAAUGGGAUUAGAUACCCCAGUAGUC
RNAcentral lists this ribosomal RNA (465 nucleotides) under uncultured Synechococcus sp. RNAcentral describes it as "bacterial SSU rRNA". It matches the Rfam family "Bacterial small subunit ribosomal RNA", at positions 356 to 853 of the family's 1533-position model. Lineage: Bacteria; Bacillati; Cyanobacteriota; Cyanophyceae; Synechococcales; Synechococcaceae. The record is from RNAcentral.